UGGGGAAUUUUGGACAAUGGGCGCAAGCCUGAUCCAGCAAUGCCGCGUGCAGGAUGAAGGCCUUCGGGUUGUAAACUGCUUUUGUACGGAACGAAACGGCGAGCUCUAAUACAGUUUGCUAAUGACGGUACCGUAAGAAUAAGCACCGGCUAACUACGUGCCAGCAGCCGCGGUAAUACGUAGGGUGCAAGCGUUAAUCGGAAUUACUGGGCGUAAAGCGUGCGCAGGCGGAUAUGUAAUACAGAUGUGAAAUCCCCGGGCUUAACCUGGGAACUGCAUUUGUGACUGCAUAGCUAGAGUACGGUAGAGGGGGAUGGAAUUCCGCGUGUAGCAGUGAAAUGCGUAGAUAUGCGGAGGAACACCGAUGGCGAAGGCAAUCCCCUGGACCUGUACUGACGCUCAUGCACGAAAGCGUGGGGAGCAAACA
Molecule: ribosomal RNA, 427 nt
Filed under: uncultured bacterium
Lineage: Bacteria
Description: partial 16S ribosomal RNA
Rfam family: Bacterial small subunit ribosomal RNA
Source: RNAcentral